RNAcentral lists this non-coding RNA (21 nucleotides) under Caenorhabditis elegans. Lineage: Eukaryota; Metazoa; Nematoda; Chromadorea; Rhabditida; Rhabditidae. The record is from RNAcentral.
UGUCCCUUUUGCCAAUUUGCA